CUUCUUAUUUCACCAGCCAGUUUUGCCUCCCCCUCUCCUAUCUCCUUGGGGACAUUGGAUGUAACAUUGCAGGUCUGAACAUUAUUCGCAAUGAUAAAGACAGUGGUUUGGAUUUCUCCCUGUCUCCUACUGACAUUUCACCAUGAAUCCCCAGAUCUAAACUGAAUUCCUCAAGAGCCACACCAGCAUCGAUUCUGAUCUCGGUGGCUGUCGUCCAGUUCAUCAACCUCCUUCUGCUUGCUUCUCAUCCAUCCAAGGUAGAAGUUCCUCUCUUCAGUUUUUGUUCCUUUUGGGAGAGUCAGUGUCCAGCCAGGUAAGUCUAGAAUUUACCCAGCUUCUGCUUUUAGCUAGGAUGGGUCCAUCUCUGUCAGCAUAGAAGAAAUCCCCCUUUGUUACUGCAUUGGGCCUCUCAGCUGCUUUUGCAAUCUGGGUCAAAA
This is a non-coding RNA of Heterocephalus glaber (naked mole-rat), 437 nucleotides long. Lineage: Eukaryota; Metazoa; Chordata; Mammalia; Rodentia; Bathyergidae. The record is from RefSeq and is a predicted model, not a curated record.